This 2297-nucleotide long non-coding RNA is filed under the name Sorghum bicolor (sorghum). Its description in RNAcentral is "long non-coding RNA (SBIC_LNC011141)". The record is from RNAcentral. Lineage: Eukaryota; Viridiplantae; Streptophyta; Magnoliopsida; Poales; Poaceae.
GAAAUUUAAUUUUGUUGGACUCCACAUAUAAUAUGGUAUGCUAUAGUCUAAUAAAAUAAAUAUAGAAGCUAAAGGUAUGAAUUAUUUCAAUUAAUUAUAGAAAAGCAUAUAUCUAAAGCUACAACAAACAAAUUAUACUAAAACAUACCAUAUUAUAUGUUCAUUGUAUAGAUAUGCUCGUUUGUAGUCUAAAAAGUUAGAUUUUCUAUUUUAUGAUUUUUCAAAGAUUUAGCUGAAAUAAAUAAAAAGAAAAGGACAAAACCUUCAUAGCAAAACCUUUGUACUAAAGUAUAGUAUAUGUUUACUGUGUAAAUCUACUCAUAUGGAAUCAAAUAAAAUAGGAUUUUCCAUUCUAUGAUUUACUAUGAUUCUUCAAAGAUUUAGCCGAAAUAAAUAAAAAAGAAAAAGAAAAAAAUCACCGUCACGGUAUCAAAACCACCAUUUACUAUAGCAAAAACCGCCUUAAAAACUGCUCUAUGCGGUAAAAUGCAUAGUUUAAAAAAAUUAAGGAAGGUGGUUUGCCCGGUUUUAAAGUUAAAGAGAAAAAUCGCAUGAUAAAGUAGAUUUUUUCCUAUUUUUAGCAAUCUCAUUCACGUAUGCCAUCCAGCCCUAGAUCAAUUCCAAAUUGCGAUAUACAGGAAGCGCGUGCUCCGUAUGUGAACCCAACCUGAUCGAGUCCAUUGGAUAUGUUUAUGUAGCACAUCUUUGAGGGGUUUAUAUAUUUCCUCCUUUUUGAGUCUAGCAUGAUCUUUGCUCUCGGCAAUGAGGAUGUAAUGCUAAUUGCAUUUAUGAUGCACCCGUGUUUAGUUUCAUUUAGUCCCUAGACUAAAGUAACUUUAGUCCUAGCCUGUUUGGUUCUAUGGACUAAUUGCCAUUGAAGCUACUGAAAAAAAAAGACCAAAACGCCCCUAUUAGAUGCCCCUUAUCCUUGUCUCUGUGUAAUAAUGAGGGGUGAAGCUGUCCUUCUACCACUUUAGUCCCCUCUAGUCACCCCCUUGAGGACUAAACGACUAAACUAGUUUAGUCAUUUUUUUAGUCACCUUAUUUGGCAAUUUAGUGACUAAAAGGGGGCCAAAAUCAGGUGACUAAACUUUAUUCACCUUGAACCAAACAUGGCCUAAACUUGACCAAAAGAAGUAUGAGUCAGGGACACACUUACAUGCAGUUGUAGGCUAUAUGUAUAGACUCUUUAUGAUCAUAGAGUUAUAUAAAAUCAAAUCAUUUUCAUUGAAAUAUAUCUUGAUAGUACACUUAUUUAAUAUAUUUCUCAAGAAACUAAUCAGAUAUAUAAAAAACAAAUUUGGUUUAAAAUAAAAUUAAAAUGAACUAUAGCUUACAAUAGAGAGACAGUAAUAAAUAUACCUGAAAUAAGAAAAAAUAAAAAGAAAGAAAACAAAAAACAAGGCAACAAAAAAAAGAGGAAAACCUACAAAGUCACGGCGCAAGAAAAGAAGGGAAGCAAGAAGCCCUCUUUCCCAAAAAGGUCAGCCUAUAGCACAAAUGAUAAGUUGGGCCAACAUAAGAAAACAAACCACACAUGUUGUCCAAACCGAAACCAGCCCACAAUAAUGAUGGGCCUGACAAAGCAAAAUUCAACCAAGACGAGAAAAGUAACUAGAUUAUAGCUAGAUAAUAUUCCUCUCAAAAAAAGUUAGAUAAUAUUUUUCUCUAAAAAAAGUUAGAUAAUAUUGUUUAGUAAUCUUGUUCCCUGUAAGGACAUCCGGUCCCAAAUCAAUUCCAAAUCGUGCUAUACAGGUGCUCGGUAGCAUGAAAUCCGUCUGAAUGCGUGUGGACAUCAGCCGGUGGCCCCUACCAAAAUCUUGCUCGAGGUAUAUAUGAUUGAGCGGCCAUUAUAUAUUUUUGUGGAGGUGGUGCAGUAGGAUACUUCGCAGCAACUCGGGAGAUCCUACUUGCAAGUACUAUACUAGUUCGUACUUCGUACGAUGCGCGGCAAACCGGCACGCGAUCGGUCGGACACCGGUGGUCACUCAACUCAAGCAAGGGCCAGGGUUGGGUCAGACGGUCAGAGGUGUUUCGACACUAGGGCUUUGUUUAGUUCCGAAAAUUUUUUGGUUUUCGAAACUAUAGCACUUUUGUUUUCAUUUAACAAACAUUAUUCAAUCAUGUAGUAACUAGGCUUAAAAGAUUUAUCUCGCGAUUUACAGGUAAACUGUGCAAUUAGUUUUUAUUUUCGUCUAUAUUUAGUGCCCCAUGCAUAUGCCUCAAGAUUCGAUGUGACGGGAAAUCUUAAAAAGUUUUUGGUUUUUGGAGUGAACUAAACAAGGCCGACUAGCUCG